Molecule: ribosomal RNA, 276 nt
Filed under: Triticum aestivum (bread wheat)
Lineage: Eukaryota; Viridiplantae; Streptophyta; Magnoliopsida; Poales; Poaceae
Description: partial small subunit ribosomal RNA
Source: RNAcentral
AUGCAGAACAAGGUGGGUGACAUGGUGGACCUCUACGUCCCCAGGAAGUGCUCGGCCACCAACAGGAUCAUCACGGCCAAGGACCACGCCUCUGUCCAGAUCAUCAUUGGUCACAUUGAUGAGAAUGUCCUCUGUGAUGGCCGCUUCACCACCUUUGCUCUCUCUGGGUUCGUAUGUGCUCGGGUAAUCAUCUUUCUUGUGUAUUUAUUGAACUAUGUGUGUGGUCACAAGUUUACUCUCAUCAAAUUUCUAUUUUCAGUGAUCAUGUUACUCUAA